AGCAAUUAUAAUAUUUUAAUACUCUAAUAUUGUAAAUAUAAAUAUAAAUAAUUAUAAAAGCUCAAUAUAAAAUAAUGAAUAGGUUAACUCAAGGGGUAGGUCCCAGAGUGGCCAUAGGUCAUAGAGCAAGUCGGGCAAAGGGAAGCAAGCGUGAAAACAAAGAGUUUACCUCGAACAUUUAUAACCAUACACAUACAACACAAGCAGUGACCGAGCCUCCAACUGUGCAUAUAUCGGAGGCCAUCUCUGCCACCUAAGAACCGUUGUUGGAGACUGUGAAGCUGCAUCGAUGAGAUUCACGUGUCCAGGUGCAGGCGAGGAUGCAGCAAUAGGACGAACCUGAUUGUACAUCAAGAUUAGUUGUUGUCGAACAUUCGAGAUAACGGGAGAUAACGGGAAAUAUAGAUUAAGAGAUAUGCUGAAAAUCGAUGUUAUUUACUAAAUGAAGAAAUGAGCAUAUAUAUGUAAACUGCUGGAAUAAAAAAAUAAAUGAAAACAGCAAAUUAAGCAAC
RNAcentral lists this long non-coding RNA (512 nucleotides) under Hordeum vulgare. Its description in RNAcentral is "long non-coding RNA (HVUL_LNC006153)". The record is from RNAcentral. Lineage: Eukaryota; Viridiplantae; Streptophyta; Magnoliopsida; Poales; Poaceae.